RNAcentral lists this ribosomal RNA (478 nucleotides) under uncultured bacterium. RNAcentral describes it as "partial 16S ribosomal RNA". It matches the Rfam family "Bacterial small subunit ribosomal RNA", at positions 28 to 523 of the family's 1533-position model. The record is from RNAcentral.
GACGAACGCUGGCGGCGUGCUUAACACAUGCAAGUCGAACGGUAAGGCCCUUCGGGGUACACUAGUGGCGAACUGGUGAGUAACACGUGGUUGCUCUGCCCUCCACUUCGGGAUAAGCCUGGGAAACUGGGUCUAAUUCCGGAUAGGACCACUGCCUCCACGUGUGGUGGUGGAAAGCUUUUGCGGUGUGGGAUGGGCCCGCGGCCUAUCAGCUUGGUGGUGGGGCGAUGGCCUACCAAGGCGACGACGGGUAGCCUGCCUGAGAGGGUGACCGGCCACACUGGGAAUGAGAUACGGCCCAGACACCUACGGGAGGCAGCAGUGGGGAAUAUUGCACAAUGGGCGCAAGCCUGAUGCAGCGACGCCGCGUGAGGGAUGACGGCCUUCGGGUUGUAAACCUCUUUCAGCACCGACGAAGCGCAAGUGACGGUAGGUGCAGAAGAAGGACCGGCCAACUACGUGCCAGCAGCCGCGGUAA